AAUAAUUUAGUAUAAGACAUUACACAUAAUUUCCAAUUAUGGGAUUUAAUUUUUAAAAUUAUUA
RNAcentral lists this transfer RNA (64 nucleotides) under Calanus finmarchicus. RNAcentral's name for it is "tRNA-Gly". The record is from RNAcentral. Lineage: Eukaryota; Metazoa; Arthropoda; Copepoda; Calanoida; Calanidae.